RNAcentral lists this transfer RNA (75 nucleotides) under Eurycea cirrigera (southern two-lined salamander). RNAcentral's name for it is "tRNA-Lys". The record is from RNAcentral. Lineage: Eukaryota; Metazoa; Chordata; Amphibia; Caudata; Plethodontidae.
UCAUUAAGAAGCUUUCAUGGACAAGCAACAGCCUUUUAAGCUGAAAUUCGGUGACCUCCAACCACCCUUAAUGAU